ACGAACGCUGGCGGCGCGCCUCACACAUGCCAGUCGAACGAGCGAGAGAGAGCUUGCUUUCUCGAGCGAGUGGCGAACGGGUGAGUAACGCGUGAGGAACCUGCCUCAAAGAGGGGGACAACAGUUGGAAACGACUGCUAAUACCGCAUAAGCCCACGGCUCGGCAUCGAGCAGGGGGAAAAGGAGCAAUCCGCUUUGAGAUGGCCUCGCGUCCGAUUAGCUAGUUGGUGGGGUAACGGCCCACCAAGGCGACGAUCGGUAGCCGGACUGAGAGGUUGAACGGCCACAUUGGGACUGAGACACGGCCCAGACUCCUACGGGAGGCAGCAGUGGGGAAUAUUGCACAAUGGGGGAAACCCUGAUGCAGCGACGCCGCGUGGAGGAAGAAGGUCUUCGGAUUGUAAACUCCUGUUGUUGGGGAAGAUAAUGACGGUACCCAACAAGGAAGAGACGGCUAACUACGUG
RNAcentral lists this ribosomal RNA (465 nucleotides) under uncultured bacterium. RNAcentral describes it as "partial 16S ribosomal RNA". It matches the Rfam family "Bacterial small subunit ribosomal RNA", at positions 29 to 507 of the family's 1533-position model. The record is from RNAcentral.